GACGAACGCUGGCGGCGUGCCUAAUACAUGCAAGUAGAACGCUGAAGAGAGGAGCUUGCUCUUCUUGGAUGAGUUGCGAACGGGUGAGUAACGCGUAGGUAACCUGCCUUGUAGCGGGGGAUAACUAUUGGAAACGAUAGCUAAUACCGCAUAACAAUGGAUGACACAUGUCAUUUAUUUGAAAGGGGCAAUUGCUCCACUACAAGAUGGACCUGCGUUGUAUUAGCUAGUAGGUGAGGUAACGGCUCACCUAGGCGACGAUACAUAGCCGACCUGAGAGGGUGAUCGGCCACACUGGGACUGAGACACGGCCCAGACUCCUACGGGAGGCAGCAGUAGGGAAUCUUCGGCAAUGGGGGCAACCCUGACCGAGCAACGCCGCGUGAGUGAAGAAGGUUUUCGGAUCGUAAAGCUCUGUUGUAAGUCAAGAACGAGUGUGAGAGUGGAAAGUUCACACUGUGACGGUAGCUUACCAGAAAGGGACGGCUAACUACGUGCCAGCAGCCGCGGUAAUACGUAGGUCCCGAGCGUUGUCCGGAUUUAUUGGGCGUAAAGCGAGCGCAGGCGGUUUGAUAAGUCUGAAGUUAAAGGCUGUGGCUCAACCAUAGUUCGCUUUGGAAACUGUCAAACUUGAGUGCAGAAGGGGAGAGUGGAAUUCCAUGUGUAGCGGUGAAAUGCGUAGACAUAUGGAGGAACACCGGUGGCGAAAGCGGCUCUCUGGUCUGUAACUGACGCUGAGGCUCGAAAGCGUGGGGAGCGAACAGGAUUAGAUACCCUGGUAGUCCACGCCGUAAACGAUGAGUGCUAGGUGUUGGAUCCUUUCCGGGAUUCAGUGCCGCAGCUAACGCAUUAAGCACUCCGCCUGGGGAGUACGACCGCAAGGUUGAAACUCAAAGGAAUUGACGGGGGCCCGCACAAGCGGUGGAGCAUGUGGUUUAAUUCGAAGCAACGCGAAGAACCUUACCAGGUCUUGACAUCCCGAUGCUAUUUCUAGAGAUAGAAAGUUACUUCGGUACAUCGGUGACAGGUGGUGCAUGGUUGUCGUCAGCUCGUGUCGUGAGAUGUUGGGUUAAGUCCCGCAACGAGCGCAACCCCUAUUGUUAGUUGCCAUCAUUCAGUUGGGCACUCUAGCGAGACUGCCGGUAAUAAACCGGAGGAAGGUGGGGAUGACGUCAAAUCAUCAUGCCCCUUAUGACCUGGGCUACACACGUGCUACAAUGGUUGGUACAACGAGUUGCGAGUCGGUGACGGCAAGCUAAUCUCUUAAAGCCAAUCUCAGUUCGGAUUGUAGGCUGCAACUCGCCUACAUGAAGUCGGAAUCGCUAGUAAUCGCGGAUCAGCACGCCGCGGUGAAUACGUUCCCGGGCCU
This 1369-nucleotide ribosomal RNA is filed under the name uncultured bacterium. Its description in RNAcentral is "bacterial SSU rRNA". It matches the Rfam family "Bacterial small subunit ribosomal RNA", at positions 28 to 1381 of the family's 1533-position model. The record is from RNAcentral.